RNAcentral lists this long non-coding RNA (227 nucleotides) under Elaeis guineensis (African oil palm). RNAcentral's name for it is "long non-coding RNA (EGUI_LNC067632)". Lineage: Eukaryota; Viridiplantae; Streptophyta; Magnoliopsida; Arecales; Arecaceae. The record is from RNAcentral.
CCCCCCAAAAUCCUGGUACUGUAGAUGAAUCCGCAGUUAGGAUCGAAUCUCGUUCGGUCUUUGUACUAGACACCAUUCCCAGCUCAUUGACCUCGGAUGAACUCUCACUGAUUAGGAUUCAGUACGGGGUUCCUCCGGAGUAUGAGCUUGAGCUUCCCGGGCCAACUGACCGGGCUAGCACUCCUCCCCCUGGCCACUUUUACUUAUACCAGGAAGCCUUCCGCGUC